Molecule: transfer RNA, 83 nt
Filed under: Glycine max (soybean)
Lineage: Eukaryota; Viridiplantae; Streptophyta; Magnoliopsida; Fabales; Fabaceae
Also listed under: 1 other name
Description: tRNA-Arg
Rfam family: tRNA (bases 1-73)
About the family: Transfer RNA (tRNA) molecules are approximately 80 nucleotides in length.
Source: RNAcentral
GGCCUGUAGCUCAGAGGAUUAGAGCAUGUGGCUACGAACCACGGUGUCGGGGGUUCGAAUCCCUCCUCACCUAGAACCGGCCA